RNAcentral lists this long non-coding RNA (1055 nucleotides) under Vombatus ursinus (common wombat). RNAcentral describes it as "lncRNA (ENSVURG00010024867.1)". The record is from RNAcentral. Lineage: Eukaryota; Metazoa; Chordata; Mammalia; Diprotodontia; Vombatidae.
GGGGGCGGGGCUAAGAGAAAAGGAGGUAAAGGCAGUUUCGAGGGGAGGGGGCCAGGCGAAGGAGUGGACCUGGUGGAGCCAUGACUAGAUCGAAAGAGAGGAGAGUGGACUUGGUUAAUUAGAGGGGCUGAGCAGGGACCUACUCCAAGUUCUAGGCAGGUUCCGAUGUACCGUUAGGCCCAAGUCUGCACUACCACUUUCGGUUUCUGGGUUCCUGCCGCUAAGCUGCCUUUGGGCCUGCCCUGGCAGCAGAGCCCCUUCUUCCUACAGAACGAUCCUCAAACAGGAGCCCCCAGGCCUGGACACGACCGCCCUUCAGGGUUUGUGAGGAUGCAGCCUUGACCCGUCCAUCCCUUCUGUGAACUCAUCCCCUCCAGAAACCCACAGACCCAGAGACAGGCCUCCUGAAAUCACCCCAGGAUACUGCCAUUAUUUUGGGGUUUCUACUUACCAAAAAUGUUCCUGGGCUUGAAUGGAUCUCUUUGUGCAAGGAGCAGAAGGAAUGAACAUAAGUUGGAGUGGAUGGGACAUUGUUAAGGGGUCCUCAGGCUCCUCCCUCCAUAAAGGAGAUCUGGUAUCAUUUCAAGGUGUGAUGGAGAUUCUCUGUCCUUUAGGAGCCUGUCUCUUCAAUUCUUUCAUUGCCUUCUUCCUCCUCCUCAUGAUGCCCCAAAUGGCCUUAGUAUAUCUUUUCAGGUCAGUUUCCUGUCUGUGUGAGAUCAAUGGGAUCCUGAUUGUGAUUUGUGCAUUUGAAGUUGAAGUGGCCCUUUAUUACCUAUGGAUAGAUCAAAGAUGUCGAGGGUAUCUUUAUGACUGGACAUUUAGGUAUGGCUGGACAGCUUUUGUGACAGGUUUUAUGCUGCUAAUAUUAAACAGUGCAUCAGUAUACUUAUUCAGAAGAUUUGUCACUGCACACAACCAGUCUCCAGAGCUGACAAUAAGGUAAUUUCAGGUGGGGUGUGCAUUUGACUUAAUUACAGGUGAAUAUCUCCACAGGAAGCUGAAAAGAGACCAAGUUGAGCCCUGGGUACACAUGCUCAGUUGGGGGUGGGGCUAGG